AGCAGAAGCGGAGGGAGCAGUGGAAACAGCAGCAGAGGCAGCGGAGGCAGCAGAAGGCAUCACAGGACAGUAUGGAUGUGUGUGAGCCAUCUCCACAAAAAGUAAUGUGCGUGGAAAUCAGCAAGGUGCCACGGAAGCCUAAAGUGAGGAGGCAAAAACACGAAGACCCGCAGCCCGUGUCCCAGCUCGACAUGAAGUUUUACUUGGACUUACUUAAAAAGGACAAUGCAGGUGUGAGCUGGUCACCUCCAGAGAAAAGGGAGAUCAAAAUCAGAGACCAGCCACUGGGACCAG
Molecule: long non-coding RNA, 294 nt
Organism: Puntigrus tetrazona (Sumatra barb)
Lineage: Eukaryota; Metazoa; Chordata; Actinopteri; Cypriniformes; Cyprinidae
Exons: 3
Source: RefSeq, a predicted model, not a curated record